RNAcentral lists this ribosomal RNA (513 nucleotides) under uncultured bacterium. Its description in RNAcentral is "bacterial SSU rRNA". It matches the Rfam family "Bacterial small subunit ribosomal RNA", at positions 16 to 518 of the family's 1533-position model. The record is from RNAcentral.
AUUAUGGCUCAGGAUGAACGCUAGCUACAGGCUUAACACAUGCAAGUCGUGGGGCAGCAUAUAGAUAGCUUGCUAUUAUGAUGGCGACCGGCGCACGGGUGAGUAACGCGUAUCCAACCUUCCCCAUAGUAGGGUAUAGCCCGGCGAAAGUCGGAUUAAUCCCCUAUGUUGUUUGAAGCGGACAUCUAAUUCAAACCAAAGAUUUAUCGCUAUGGGAUGGGGAUGCGUCUGAUUAGGUUGCAGGCGGGGUAACGGCCCACCUGGCCGACGAUCAGUAGGGGUUCUGAGAGGAAGGUCCCCCACACUGGUACUGAGACACGGACCAGACUCCUACGGGAGGCAGCAGUGAGGAAUAUUGGUCAAUGGGCGCGAGCCUGAACCAGCCAAGUAGCGUGCAGGAAUGACGGCCUUACGGGUUGUAAACUGCUUUUAUGCGGGGAUAAAGUGCGGCACGUGUGCCGUUUUGCAGGUACCGCAUGAAUAAGGACCGGCUAAUUCCGUGCCAGCAGCAGC